GACGUGGCCGAGUGGUCUAAGGCGGUUGCUUGCUAAGCAACUGUGGGUUUACCCACCGCGAGUUCGAAUCUCGCCGU
Molecule: transfer RNA, 77 nt
Filed under: Bigelowiella longifila
Lineage: Eukaryota; Cercozoa; Chlorarachniophyceae
Rfam family: tRNA
About the family: Transfer RNA (tRNA) molecules are approximately 80 nucleotides in length. Their secondary structure includes four short double-helical elements and three loops (D, anti-codon, and T loops).
Source: RNAcentral